GAUGAACGCUGGCGGCGUGCUUAAUACAUGCAAGUCGAGCGAACAGACCAGGAUUUUGUUCCUUUCACGUUUGCGGCGGACGGGUGUUUAACACGUGUUUACCCUCCUUUUAUUUCUGGGAUAAUUUCGGGACACCGGCUCUAAUACCGUAUAAUUUUUUGAUCCCCUUGGUUCAUUAGUGAAUUUCGUUUUUUUUUUUACUUUUCGUUGCUUCUGCGCCGCAUUAGCUAGUUGUUAAGUUAACGGCUUACCAAGGCAACGAUGCGUAGCCGACCUGAGAGGGUGAUCGGCGACACGGGAACUGAGACACGGACCAGACGCCUACGGGAGGCAGCAGUAGGGAAUCUUCCGCAAUGGGCGAAAGCAUGACGGAGCAACGCCGCGUGAGUGAUGAAGGUGUUCGGAUCGUAAAACUCUGUUAUUAGGGAAGAACAAAUGUGUAAGUAAAUAUGCACGGAGUGACGGUACCUAAUCAGAAAGCCACGGCUAACUACGUG
RNAcentral lists this ribosomal RNA (497 nucleotides) under uncultured bacterium. Its description in RNAcentral is "partial 16S ribosomal RNA". It matches the Rfam family "Bacterial small subunit ribosomal RNA", at positions 28 to 507 of the family's 1533-position model. The record is from RNAcentral.